GAUGAACGCUGGCGGCGUGCCUAAUACAUGCAAGUCGAGCGAACAGACGAGGAGCUUGCUCCUCUGACGUUAGCGGCGGACGGGUGAGUAACACGUGGAUAACCUACCUAUAAGACUGGGAUAACUUCGGGAAACCGGAGCUAAUACCGGAUAAUAUAUUGAACCGCAUGGUUCAAUAGUGAAAGACGGUUUUGCUGUCACUUAUAGAUGGAUCCGCGCCGCAUUAGCUAGUUGGUGAGGUAACGGCUUACCAAGGCAGCGAUGCGUAGCCGCCCUGAGAGGGUGAUCGGCCACACUGGAACGGAGACACGGCCCAGACUCCUACGGGAGGCAGCAGUAGGGAAUCUUCCGCAAUGGUCGAAAGCCUGACGGAGCAACGCCGCGUGAGUGAUGAAGGUCUUCGGAUCGUAAAACUCUGUUAUUAGGGAAGAACAAAUGUGUAAGUAACUAUGCACGUCUUGACGGUACCUAAUCAGAAAGCCACGGCUAACUACGUG
This 497-nucleotide ribosomal RNA is filed under the name uncultured bacterium. RNAcentral describes it as "partial 16S ribosomal RNA". It matches the Rfam family "Bacterial small subunit ribosomal RNA", at positions 28 to 507 of the family's 1533-position model. The record is from RNAcentral.